Molecule: long non-coding RNA, 329 nt
Organism: Xyrauchen texanus (razorback sucker)
Lineage: Eukaryota; Metazoa; Chordata; Actinopteri; Cypriniformes; Catostomidae
Exons: 3
Source: RefSeq, a predicted model, not a curated record
AGAUGAUGACCCAAUCUUACCAGACACUUCAUUUCCGCCUUAGAACAAUGGCGGCUCGUGGAGCCCAUAGACAUUAUGUCUAUGGUGGAGCCUCUCAAUAGUUCCCGGAAGUAGCAGCAAACACCGUAGAGAUGCAUCAGAACAAACCGUUUGCGACGCACUUUUAAAAGUGGGCAAGCCAUACAUUCGCACACCUUUCUCUGAGCGAUUGGAGCAUCCCCAUGCAGCACAGCAAACCAUGGUGAAGACUAUGCAACGACAACAUGAAAGAAAGGACACAUACAAAAUGCUUGGCAUGCUAUUUCAUUUAUUAGAAAUGUAUUCAUGAA